UGGGGGAUAUUGCACAAUGGGCGAAAGCCUGAUGCAGCGACGCCGCGUGGGGGAUGAAGGCUUUCGGGUUGUAAACCUCUUUCGCUAUCGAACAAGGCCCGCUUAGGGUGGGUUGAGGGUAGGUGGAGAAGAAGCGCCGGCUAACUACGUGCCAGCAGCCGCGGUAAUACGUAGGGCGCGAGCGUUGUCCGGAAUCAUUGGGCGUAAAGGGCUUGUAGGCGGCUUGUUGCGCCUGCUGUGAAAACGCGGGGCUUAACUUCGCGCGUGCAGUGGGUACGGGCAGGCUUGAGUGUGGUAGGGGUGACUGGAAUUCCAGGUGUAGCGGUGGAAUGCGCAGAUAUCUGGAGGAACACCGAUGGCGAAGGCAGGUCACUGGGCCAUUACUGACGCUGAGGAGCGAAAGCAUGGGUAGCGAACAGG
RNAcentral lists this ribosomal RNA (420 nucleotides) under bacterium. RNAcentral describes it as "partial 16S ribosomal RNA". It matches the Rfam family "Bacterial small subunit ribosomal RNA", at positions 355 to 776 of the family's 1533-position model. The record is from RNAcentral.